AACGAACGCUGGCGGUAUGCUUAACACAUGCAAGUCGCACGAGAAAAGACCGCAAGGUUUUGGAAAGUGGCGCACGGGUGAGAAACACGUAGGCAACCUACCCUUCAGAUCGGGACAACAAUUCGAAAGGAUUGCUAAUUCCGGAUACGAUUUUGGAGUUGUGAAGACUCCGAGAGGAAAGCGGCACUCUGAACUAAGGUCGCGCUGAAGGAAGGGCUUGCGGCCCAUCAGCUAGUUGGUAGUGUAACGGACUACCAAGGCAAAGACGGGUAGCUGGUCUGAGAGGACGAUCAGCCACACUGGAACUGAGACACGGUCCAGACUCCUACGGGAGGCAGCAGUGGGGAAUUUUGGACAAUGGGCGCAAGCCUGAUCCAGCAAUGCCGCGUGCAGGAUGAAGGCCUUCGGGUUGUAAACUGCUUUUGUACGGAACGAAACGGCCCUUUCUAAUACAGGGGGCUAAUGACGGUACCGUAAGAAUAAGCACCGGCUAACUACGUGCCAGCCGCCGCGGUAA
RNAcentral lists this ribosomal RNA (517 nucleotides) under uncultured bacterium. RNAcentral's name for it is "partial 16S ribosomal RNA". It matches the Rfam family "Bacterial small subunit ribosomal RNA", at positions 29 to 523 of the family's 1533-position model. The record is from RNAcentral.